GACGAACGCUGGCGGCGUGCUUAACACAUGCAAGUCGAACGGAAACGCCCUGCCUUUGUGGGGUGCAUGAGUGGCGAACGGGUGAGUAACACGUGAGUAACCUGCCCUUGACUUUGGGAUAACUUCAGGAAACUGGGGCUAAUACCGGAUAGGAGCUCCUGCUGCAUGGUGGGGGUUGGAAAGUUUUGGCGGUUGGGGAUGGACUCGCGGCUUAUCAGCUUGUUGGUGGGGUAGUGGCUUACCAAGGCUUUGACGGGUAGCCGGCCUGAGAGGGGGACCGGCCACAUUGGGACUGAGAUACGGCCCAGACUCCUACGGGAGGCAGCAGUGGGGAAUAUUGCACAAUGGGCGGAAGCCUGAUGCAGCGACGCCGCGUGCGGGAUGACGGCCUUCGGGUUGUAAACCGCUUUCGCCUGGGAAGAAGCGAGAGUGACGGUAAUGGGUGAAGAAGCGCCGGCUAACUACGUG
Molecule: ribosomal RNA, 468 nt
Filed under: uncultured bacterium
Lineage: Bacteria
Description: partial 16S ribosomal RNA
Rfam family: Bacterial small subunit ribosomal RNA
Source: RNAcentral